CUAUGCCCUAGGGCUAGUGGAAGACUUAAGAUGGCGGCGUUUGCACGGAGUGCAAUCACUGCGUCCUUACGGGGGUUGCAAGGCGUCCGAAGUAUGAGUCCAGUAACAAAAGGCCAGAAACUCGCCAGUUAAUAGUAUUGUGUCUCUUCAAAAUAUCGGAGAAUAAUUUCUUUCUCGCUGAUCGCCUAACUUCUACUGACGAAGCUAGGAAGUUGCAGAAGAUGGAGUUCGCUCUUGUUGCCCAGGCUGGAAUGCAAUGGCAUGACCUUGGCUCACUGCAACCUCUGCCUCCCCAGUUCAAGUGAUUCUCCUGCCUCAGCCUCCCGAGUAGCUGGGAUUAUAGGUACUGGCUCCUGUAUCACCCAGCUCUGGAGUUGAAAGAGCUCUUCAUUCCUGAGUCUCCUGUACCACUGAGAAUAGGCUGGAGUGCAGUGGCGCAAUCUCGGCUCUCUGCAACCUUCACCUCCUGCGUUCAAGUGAUUCUCCUGCCUCAGCCUCCUGAAUACCUGAGAUUACAAGCAUGCACCACCAUGCCCGUCUAAUUUUGUAUUUUCACUAGAGAUGGGGUUUCUCCAUGUUGG
This 581-nucleotide long non-coding RNA is filed under the name Pan troglodytes (chimpanzee). RNAcentral describes it as "lincRNA". The stretch from base 9 to 143 matches the Rfam family "JPX transcript, XIST activator conserved region 1". The record is from RNAcentral. Lineage: Eukaryota; Metazoa; Chordata; Mammalia; Primates; Hominidae.